Molecule: ribosomal RNA, 798 nt
Filed under: uncultured archaeon
Lineage: Archaea
Description: bacterial SSU rRNA
Rfam family: Archaeal small subunit ribosomal RNA
Source: RNAcentral
UACGGCUCAGUAACACGUGGAUAACCUGCCCUUGGGUCCGGCAUAACCCCGGGAAACUGGGGAUAAUUCCGGAUAACGCACAUAUGCUGGAAUGCUUUAUGCGUAAAAUGGAUUCGUCUGCCCAAGGAUGGGUCUGCGGCCUAUCAGGUAGUAGUGGGUGUAAUGUACCUACUAGCCGACGACGGGUACGGGUUGUGAGAGCAAGAGCCCGGAGAUGGAUUCUGAGACAUGAAUCCAGGCCCUACGGGGCGCAGCAGGCGCGAAAACUUUACAAUGCGGGAAACCGUGAUAAGGGGACACCGAGUGCCAGCAUCAUAUGCUGGCUGUCCAGGUGUGUAAAAUACACCUGUUAGCAAGGGCCGGGCAAGACCGGUGCCAGCCGCCGCGGUAACACCGGCGGCCCGAGUGGUGAUCGUGAUUAUUGGGUCUAAAGGGUCCGUAGCCGGUUUGGUCAGUCCUCCGGGAAAUCUGACGGCUCAACCGUUAGGCUUUCGGGGGAUACUGCCAGGCUUGGAACCGGGAGAGGUAAGAGGUACUACAGGGGUAGGAGUGAAAUCUUGUAAUCCCUGUGGGACCACCUGUGGCAAAGGCGUCUUACCAGAACGGGUUCGACGGUGAGGGACGAAAGCUGGGGGCACGAACCGGAUUAGAUACCCGGGUAGUCCCAGCCGUAAACGAUGCUCGCUAGGUGUCAGGCAUGGCGCGACCGUGUCUGGUGCCGCAGGGAAGCCGUGAAGCGAGCCACCUGGGAAGUACGGCCGCAAGGCUGAAACUUAAAGGAAUUGGCGGGGGAGCACA